RNAcentral lists this ribosomal RNA (482 nucleotides) under uncultured bacterium. Its description in RNAcentral is "bacterial SSU rRNA". It matches the Rfam family "Bacterial small subunit ribosomal RNA", at positions 29 to 506 of the family's 1533-position model. The record is from RNAcentral.
UUGAACGCUGGCGGCAUGCUUUACACAUGCAAGUCGAACGGCAGCGGGGGCUUCGGCCUGCCGGCGAGUGGCGAACGGGUGAGUAAUGCAUCGGAACGUACCCAGUCGUGGGGGAUAACUACGCGAAAGCGUGGCUAAUACCGCAUACGCCCUGAGGGGGAAAGCGGGGGACCUUCGGGCCUCGCGCGAUUGGAGCGGCUGAUGUCGGAUUAGCUGGUUGGUGGGGUAAAGGCCUACCAAGGCGACGAUCCGUAGCUGGUCUGAGAGGAUGAUCAGCCACACUGGGACUGAGACACGGCCCAGACUCCUACGGGAGGCAGCAGUGGGGAAUUUUGGACAAUGGGCGCAAGCCUGAUCCAGCCAUGCCGCGUGAGUGAAGAAGGCCUUCGGGUUGUAAAGCUCUUUCAGCCGGGACGAAAUCGCUAUUCUUAAUACGAGUAGUGGAUGACGGUACCGGAAUAAGAAGCACCGGCUAACUACGU